AAGCUUGUUAUGAUGCAUCGUUGUCAUUAUCAUGUACCCUUAAUCAAGAUGAAAAUGUGGAUCCCCUUACAAUAUCAGGUAUCUUUCUUAUCUAUUUUAAGUUUCAACCUAAUGAGUCAGCAUUGUACAUGGGUACUGUCUUUUUAGUAAGAUGGAUUGUUUCCUUUGUUCAAAUAGCUAACCCAACUAAUAUGACACAAGAAGCUGUCUUGAAUAACAUCAAGGAAACAAGGCAGAUACCUCCAGUUGGGCUCAAAAAAAUUGACGGACGAACAAAGAGAGCAGAUAAACGCAAAGAGGCGGGCUUUUUAUCGAAAGAAAAGAGAUAUGCUUAUAGAAGAUGAAAAUCUUGCUCCACAUACAAUGACAAGUAAGCUUGUGAUAUGUUUGUGAAUAUCGUAAUGAUUUAUGCA
This 413-nucleotide long non-coding RNA is filed under the name Hordeum vulgare. Its description in RNAcentral is "long non-coding RNA (HVUL_LNC013026)". The record is from RNAcentral. Lineage: Eukaryota; Viridiplantae; Streptophyta; Magnoliopsida; Poales; Poaceae.